CCUACGGGUGGCAGCAGUGAGGAAUAUUGGUCAAUGGACGAGAGUCUGAACCAGCCAAGUAGCGUGAAGGAUGACUGCCCUACGGGUUGUAAACUUCUUUUAUAUGGGAAUAAAAUGUUCCACGUGUGGGAUUUUGUAUGUACUAUAUGAAUAAGGAUCGGCUAACUCCGUGCCAGCAGCCGCGGUAAUACGGAGGAUCCGAGCGUUAUCCGGAUUUAUUGGGUUUAAAGGGAGCGUAGGUGGGUUGUUAAGUCAGUUGUGAAAGUUUGCGGCUCAACCGUAAAAUUGCAGUUGAAACUGGCAGUCUUGAGUACAGUAGAGGUGGGCGGAAUUCGUGGUGUAGCGGUGAAAUGCUUAGAUAUCACGAAGAACUCCGAUUGCGAUGGCAGCUCACUAGACUGCAACUGACACUGAUGCUCGAAAGCGCGGGUAUCGAACAGGAUUAGAUACCCGAGUAGUC
Molecule: ribosomal RNA, 460 nt
Filed under: uncultured bacterium
Lineage: Bacteria
Description: partial 16S ribosomal RNA
Rfam family: Bacterial small subunit ribosomal RNA
Source: RNAcentral